UGGAUUUUGAAGGCGUCGUGUGGUUCUAGGAACAAUGGCUCUCGGUGGUGCAACGGAGGUGUUACUUGGAGAUGUUCAGAUACAAAGGAAAAUUCCAAAAUCCGUGAGGGAGUAUAUGCUGGGAAAUUACUUGGUUGGAACCUGACCACCUUACCCAGUAUCCUGGGAGUUGAUGAAUACUAACGAAUCUAUGAAUGUCACUGACAGGCAACGUCAUUUUUAAAUGAGGGGUCGCUGUCUUUCCAUUGAAAGAGGCCAGUUUGCUGUAACCUUCCUAAGAUGAAACGCAUUUCUGGCUAAUACCACCAGAUUUACUUGUAUGAAAAAUCGAUAAGGAAAAGACUUCAUUUUACUGACAUGGGAAGAAAACCGACAAAUCAAGACUUUUUUUGUAAACAGAUUAUGAAGCAGCAUCAAAUUUAGAUUAAUGUAUUUACAAGAUUUAGGCCAUUGUCUUUUGUUUAUGUCAUACUGCCUUAGAGAGUCAUAACCUGUUAAGCAGAUUACUUUGUGGAUCUGUUUUUAUUCUAAACACAAGAGUGCAUAGGAAACUACAAGUUUUUGAUGUAGAAGUCUUUGUUAACCAGACUUGUAAUUAGCUUGUGAAUGUUUCACCUUUGGUCACCUGUUUUAAAUUUAAAAUGCACAAUUGUAAUUAAAGCUGAGUGAAAAUGUAAACUGAAUAUUGUGGGAAAAGUCCUUAAGUUUUUAUGGAGGGGUGACUCAUUUUGGCAGUUACCACAGAAGGAUCAUGUUGGCUUUUGGUAGCGUACUAAAUAUUACUGGAUUAACGGUAAGCAGAAAGAAAGUCUGGAUCUGUUACUGGGGGAGCGGAAAAUACCAGGUAUUGGUGAUUUUGAUUACUGAAUUCCGGAAUAUUUGGUCCCAGUGAAUUAUAAUUUGAAAGGAUGCUUAAGAUGUAAAGUGUGAGGGGUACCUGAGUGGCUCAGUCAGUUAAGCAUCUCCACUCCAUGCUGAGCAUGAAACCUACUUUAAAUACCGAUGGGAAAAUGUGGAAUGCUGAAAAUGAAGAGAGCACAGCCUGACAAUGGGUCAUGGGGGGGUUUGCUGAUAAGAUCAAACCUAGCAUUGAAUGGAUUUAGCAUAGACAGUAAUAGCAUCUGAUCUAACCAAGAUGGUUUGGCCCUGUGCAUGAUCAUUUUCCCUAAAUAGCUGCAUGAAUAAAUUGUUGCUAAGCUUA
This is a long non-coding RNA of Hyaena hyaena (striped hyena), 1201 nucleotides long. RefSeq lists it as uncharacterized. The transcript has 6 exons. Lineage: Eukaryota; Metazoa; Chordata; Mammalia; Carnivora; Hyaenidae. The record is from RefSeq and is a predicted model, not a curated record.